Molecule: ribosomal RNA, 439 nt
Filed under: uncultured bacterium
Lineage: Bacteria
Description: bacterial SSU rRNA
Rfam family: Bacterial small subunit ribosomal RNA
Source: RNAcentral
UGGGGAAUAUUGCGCAAUGGGCGAAAGCCUGACGCAGCGACGCCGCGUGAGGGAUGAAGGUCUUCGGAUCGUAAACCUCUGUCAGCAGGGAAGAAAGUUAUGCGUGCUAAUCAGCGUGUAAUUGACGGUACCUGCAAAGGAAGCACCGGCUAACUCCGUGCCAGCAGCCGCGGUAAUACGGAGGAUCCGAGCGUUAUCCGGAUUUAUUGGGUUUAAAGGGAGCGUAGAUGGAUGUUUAAGUCAGUUGUGAAAGUUUGCGGCUCAACCGUAAAAUUGCAAUUGAUACUGGCGUCCUUGAGUACAGUUGAGGUGGGCGGAAUUCGUGGUGUAGCGGUGAAAUGCUUAGAUAUCACGAAGAACUCCUAUUGCGAAGGCAGCUCACUAAACUGCAACUGACAUUGAGGCUCGAAAGUGUGGGUAUCAAACAGGAUUAGAUACC